This 309-nucleotide ribosomal RNA is filed under the name Triticum aestivum (bread wheat). RNAcentral's name for it is "partial small subunit ribosomal RNA". Lineage: Eukaryota; Viridiplantae; Streptophyta; Magnoliopsida; Poales; Poaceae. The record is from RNAcentral.
AUGCCCAGGAGGUUCGGCUCCUCCUCGUCGUCCUCCUCGCACUCCUCCUCACGGGCUUCUUCCCAUUCCUCCGGCUCUUCGGCGCUGCUCGGCGUCAAGGCCGAGCCCGCGGCGGAGACGCCGCUCGGCCGGCGCACUCGAAGCGCAGGCAUCGUCAUCAACGAGGGCGGCCGGCGCGCCUCCUCGUCGGCUCUUCCGCGCUUCGUCAAGCCAAAGACGGAGCCGGGUCUCCCCGCCGUGAAGAUGGAGUACGGCGACGUGGAGCUUGACGACGACGCGGCCCUGGAAUGGGCGCGCAAGGACUCCUGA